CAGCGACAAGAGAAGGGACC
Molecule: non-coding RNA, 20 nt
Filed under: Arabidopsis thaliana (thale cress)
Lineage: Eukaryota; Viridiplantae; Streptophyta; Magnoliopsida; Brassicales; Brassicaceae
Source: RNAcentral